UACGGAGGGUGCUAGCGUUGUUCGGAAUCACUGGGCGUAAAGGGCGUGUAGGCGGUCUGUUAAGUCUGAUGUGAAAUCCCCUCGCUCAACGAGGGAACUGCGUCGGAUACUGGCAGACUCGAGUACCGGAGAGGAAGGUGGAAUUCCCGGUGUAGCGGUGAAAUGCGUAGAGAUCGGGAAGAACAUCAGUGGCGAAGGCGGCCUGCUGGGCUGUUGCUGACGCUGAGGCGCGACAGCGUGGGGAGCAAACAGG
Molecule: ribosomal RNA, 253 nt
Filed under: uncultured bacterium
Lineage: Bacteria
Description: partial 16S ribosomal RNA
Rfam family: Bacterial small subunit ribosomal RNA
Source: RNAcentral